UCCGCUUAUUGAUAUGCUUAAGUUCAGCGGGUGCCCUUGCCUGAACUCAGGUCGAAUAAGAUAGACGCCCGGUUCCCAUAACCGGCCGUUCCAUCCGGCCUCCAACAAAGUCCCGGGCCGACAGCGGCAUGCGAUCCCUUGCGGGUCACCUACCAGACUGUUGUCCCGAUUGGGUCCUUGCUCGAGCCUCUGGUCUUCAGCGGACCCGAUCAUAAUGACCGGGACUGCCACGUCCGCCGCCCCAAGUGAUGGGGGGGCGAGAGGGUGAAGCCGACGCUGAGGCAGCCAUACUCUUGGCCGGAGCCUCGAGUGCAAUUUGCGUUCAAAGAUUCGAUGAUUCACAUUAUCUGCAAUUCACACUACGUAUCGCAUUUCGCUGCGUUCUUCAUCGAUACGGGAGCCAAGACAUCCAUUGUUGAGAGUUGUCAUUGGUUGGAGGGGGCCGCACGAGGCGACCGCCGACCGCUUCAGGCUCGGUUAAGUUCUGGUUUUGAUUGGGGUUUUGCCGACCCGGAAAACGUCAUCCGAUCGGGUAUAUCGGAGAGAGGUCUCCCAACCCCGCCAGACCUUCCUGUCCUCGAUAACCGACGCGCCAACUGGGACACGCGCACUGUCGGCCUCUGCAUAGAGCCGCUCAGGGGGGA
This 644-nucleotide ribosomal RNA is filed under the name uncultured Coccomyxa. RNAcentral describes it as "partial 18S ribosomal RNA". Lineage: Eukaryota; Viridiplantae; Chlorophyta; Trebouxiophyceae. The record is from RNAcentral.